This 512-nucleotide ribosomal RNA is filed under the name Sinodiscula theae-sinensis. RNAcentral describes it as "Discula theae-sinensis partial large subunit ribosomal RNA". It matches the Rfam family "Eukaryotic large subunit ribosomal RNA", at positions 69 to 634 of the family's 3401-position model. The record is from RNAcentral. Lineage: Eukaryota; Fungi; Ascomycota; Sordariomycetes; Diaporthales; Melanconiellaceae.
CAGGGAUUGCCUUAGUAACGGCGAGUGAAGCGGCAACAGCUCAAAUUUGAAAUCUGGCCCCUAGGGUCCGAGUUGUACUUUGUAGAGGAUGUUUUUGGCACGGUGCCUUCCGAGUUCCCUGGAACGGGACGCCACAGAGGGUGAGAGCCCCGUAUGGUUGGACACUACUCCUUUGUUGAGCUCCUUCUUCGAGUCGAGUAGUUUGGGAAUGCUGCUCUUAAUGGGAGGAAAAUCUCUUCUAAAGCUAAAUACUGGCGACAGAACAAUAGCGCACAACUAGAGUGAUGAAAAGAUGAAAAGCACCUUGAAGAGGGGGUUAAACAGUACGUGAAAUUGUUGAAAGGGAAGCACUUGUCGCCACACGAGUGCCGGCGGUUCCGCAGGGGCUUGCCGCUGUCGAUGCCGUUGUGUACAGGCCACCAUCUGUUUUCUCCGGGGGAGAAGAACAGGCGGAACAUGGCUCUUUCGACAGUGUUGUAGCCUUCCUUACGAUGACCUGGCGGGGACAGAGG